This 497-nucleotide ribosomal RNA is filed under the name uncultured bacterium. RNAcentral describes it as "partial 16S ribosomal RNA". It matches the Rfam family "Bacterial small subunit ribosomal RNA", at positions 28 to 507 of the family's 1533-position model. The record is from RNAcentral.
GAUGAACGCUGGCGGCGUGCCUAAUACAUGCAAGUCGAGCGAACAGAUAAGGAGCUUGCUCCUUUGAAGUUAGCGGCGGACGGGUGAGUAACACGUGGGUAACCUACCUAUAAGACUGGGAUAACUUCGGGAAACCGGAGCUAAUACCGGAUAACAUUUAGAACCGCAUGGUUCUAAAGUGAAAGAUGGUUUUGUUAUCACUUAUAGAUGGACCCGCGCCGUAUUAGCUAGUUGGUAAGGUAACGGCUUACCAAGGCGACGAUACGUAGCCGACCUGAGAGGGUGAUCGGCCACACUGGAACUGAGACACGGUCCAGACUCCUACGGGAGGCAGCAGUAGGGAAUCUUCCGCAAUGGGCGAAAGCCUGACGGAGCAACGCCGCGUGAGUGAUGAAGGGUUUCGGCUCGUAAAACUCUGUUAUUAGGGAAGAACAAAUGUGUAAGUAACUGUGCACAUCUUGACGGUACCUAAUCAGAAAGCCACGGCUAACUACGUG